GUUUGAUCCUGGCUCAGAGUGAACGCGGCGGCGUGCUUNACACAUGCAAGUCGAACGAGAACGGCUCUAGCUUGCUAGAGUGUCAGCUAAGUGGCGGACGGGUGAGUAAUGUAUAGUUAAUCUGCCCCUUGGAGAGGGAUAACAGUUGGAAACGACUGCUAAUACCUCAUACUCCUUCUUCCUUAGUGGAAGUUGGGAAACGGUUUAUUCUGCCAAGGGAUGAGACUAUAUGGUAUCAGGUAGUUGGUGGGGUAAGAGCCUACCAAGCCAAUGACACCUAGCUGGUCUGAGAGGAUGAUCAGCCACACUGGAACUGAGACACGGUCCAGACUCCUACGGGAGGCAGCAGUGGGGAAUAUUGCACAAUGGAGGAAACUCUGAUGCAGCAACGCCGCGUGGAGGAUGNNACAUUUCGGUGCG
RNAcentral lists this ribosomal RNA (420 nucleotides) under uncultured prokaryote. Its description in RNAcentral is "bacterial SSU rRNA". It matches the Rfam family "Bacterial small subunit ribosomal RNA", at positions 11 to 425 of the family's 1533-position model. The record is from RNAcentral.